UACGUAGGGUGCGAGCGUUGCCCGGAUUUAUUGGGCGUAAAGGGCGCGCAGGCGGCCACGCGCGUCCGUUGUGAAAUCGCUCGGCUCAACUGGGCGAGGUCAGCGGAUACGGCGUGGCUGGAGCAAGCUAGGGGGCAAUGGAAUUCCCGGUGUAGUGGUGGAAUGCGUAGAUAUCGGGAGGAACACCAGUGGCGAAGGCGGUUGCCUGGAGCUUUGCUGACGCUGAGGCGCGAAAGCGUGGGGAGCGAACAGG
This 253-nucleotide ribosomal RNA is filed under the name uncultured bacterium. Its description in RNAcentral is "partial 16S ribosomal RNA". It matches the Rfam family "Bacterial small subunit ribosomal RNA", at positions 524 to 776 of the family's 1533-position model. The record is from RNAcentral.